GGGGCUGUGGCUCAGUGGUAGAGUGCUUGCCUAGCAUGCGUGAGGCACUGGGUUCAAUCCUCAGCACCA
Molecule: transfer RNA, 69 nt
Filed under: Ictidomys tridecemlineatus (thirteen-lined ground squirrel)
Lineage: Eukaryota; Metazoa; Chordata; Mammalia; Rodentia; Sciuridae
Description: Spermophilus tridecemlineatus (thirteen-lined ground squirrel) tRNA
Rfam family: tRNA
About the family: Transfer RNA (tRNA) molecules are approximately 80 nucleotides in length. Their secondary structure includes four short double-helical elements and three loops (D, anti-codon, and T loops).
Source: Rfam by way of RNAcentral